AUAACACUUGGAAACAGGUGGUAAUACCGCAUAACCAUAGUUACCGCAUGGUAACUAUGUAAAAGGUGGCUAUGCUACCGCUUUUGGAUGGGCCCGCGGCGCAUUAGCUAGUUGGUGGGGUAAAGGCUUACCAAGGCAAUGAUGCGUAGCCGAACUGAGAGGUUGAUCGGCCACAUUGGGACUGAGACACGGCCCAAACUCCUACGGGAGGCAGCAGUAGGGAAUCUUCCACAAUGGGCGAAAGCCUGAUGGAGCAACGCCGCGUGGGUGAAGAAGGUCUUCGGAUCGUAAAACCCUGUUGUUAGAGAAGAAAGUGCGUGAGAGUAACUGUUCACGUUUCGACGGUAUCUAACCAGAAAGCCACGGCUAACUACGUGCCAGCAGCCGCGGUAAUACGUAGGUGGCAAGCGUUAUCCGGAUUUAUUGGGCGUAAAGGGAACGCAGGCGGUCUUUUAAGUCUGAUGUGAAAGCCUUCGGCUUAACCGGAGUAGUGCAUUGGAAACUGGGAGACUUGAGUGCAGAAGAGGAGAGUGGAACUCCAUGUGUAGCGGUGAAAUGCGUAGAUAUAUGGAAGAACACCAGUGGCGAAAGCGGCUCUCUGGUCUGUAACUGACGCUGAGGUUCGAAAGCGUGGGUAGCAAACAGGAUUAGAUACCCUGGUAGUCCACGCCGUAAACGAUGAAUGCUAAGUGUUGGAGGGUUUCCGCCCUUCAGUG
Molecule: ribosomal RNA, 716 nt
Filed under: uncultured bacterium
Lineage: Bacteria
Description: bacterial SSU rRNA
Rfam family: Bacterial small subunit ribosomal RNA
Source: RNAcentral